AUGAUCACUUAGGCAGCACAUAUACUAAAGUUGGAAUGAUACAGAAAAUAGUAGCAUGGCCCCUGUGCAAGGAUGACAUGCAAAUUCGUGAAGCAUUACAUAUUAAA
This is a small nuclear RNA of Suncus etruscus (white-toothed pygmy shrew), 107 nucleotides long. The record is from RefSeq and is a predicted model, not a curated record. Lineage: Eukaryota; Metazoa; Chordata; Mammalia; Eulipotyphla; Soricidae.